GACGCACGCUGGCGGCGUGCUUAACACAUGCAAGUCGAACGGAAAGACCCUGCUUUUGUGGGGUGCCCGAGUGGCGAACGGGUGAGUAACACGUGAGUAACCUGCCCUUGACUUUGGGAGAACUUCAGGAAACUGGGGCUAAUACCGGAUAGGAGCCCCUGCUCCAUGGUGGGGGUUGGAAAGUUGCGGCGGUCGGGGAUGGAGGGGCGGCUGAUCAGCUUGUUGGUGGGGGAGUGGCUGACCAAGGGUUUGACGGGUAGCCGGCUUGGGAGGGUGAACGGCGACAUGGGGACUGAGGGAGGGCGCAGAGGGGAACGGGAGGCAGCGGGGGGGAGUAUGGCACAGUGGGCGGGAGCGUGUGGCGGCGGCGCCGCGUGCGGGAUGACGGCCUUCGGGGUGAAAACAGCUUGCGCCUGUGACGAAGCGGGAGUGACGGUAAUGGGUAAAGAAGCACCGGCUAACUACGUG
Molecule: ribosomal RNA, 468 nt
Filed under: uncultured bacterium
Lineage: Bacteria
Description: partial 16S ribosomal RNA
Rfam family: Bacterial small subunit ribosomal RNA
Source: RNAcentral